This 506-nucleotide ribosomal RNA is filed under the name uncultured bacterium. RNAcentral describes it as "partial 16S ribosomal RNA". It matches the Rfam family "Bacterial small subunit ribosomal RNA", at positions 29 to 523 of the family's 1533-position model. The record is from RNAcentral.
AGUGAACGCUGGCGGUAGGCCUAACACAUGCAAGUCGAACGGCAGCACAGGAGAGCUUGCUCUCUGGGUGGCGAGUGGCGGACGGGUGAGGAAUACAUCGGAAUCUACUCUGUCGUGGGGGAUAACGUAGGGAAACUUACGCUAAUACCGCAUACGACCUACGGGUGAAAGCAGGGGACCUUCGGGCCUUGCGCGAUUGAAUGAGCCGAUGUCGGAUUAGCUAGUUGGCGGGGUAAAGGCCCACCAAGGCCGCGAUCCGUAGCUGGGCUGAGAGGAGGAUCAGCCACAGUGGAACAGGGACACGGUCCAGGCUCCUACGGGAGGCAGCAGUGGGGAAUAUUGGACAAUGGGCGCAAGCCUGAUCCAGCCAUACCGCGUGGGUGAAGUGGGCCUUCGGGUUGUAAAGCCCUUUUGUUGGGAAAGAAAUCCAGCUGGCUAAUACCCGGUUGGGAUGACGGUACCCAAAGAGUAAGCACCGGCUAACUUCGUGCCAGCCGCCGCCGUAA